AUUGAACGCUGGCGGAAUGCUUUACACAUGCAAGUCGAACGGUAGAGGGGGCAACCCCUUGAGAGUGGCGAACGGGUGAGUAAUAUAUCGGAACGUGCCCAGUCGUGGGGAUAACGUAGCGAAAGCUACGCUAAUACCGCAUACGAUCUAUGGAUGAAAGCGGGGGAUCGCAAGACCUCGCGCGAUUGGAGCGGCCGAUAUCAGAUUAGGUAGUUGGUGGGGUAAAGGCUCACCAAGCCAACGAUCUGUAGCUGGUCUGAGAGGACGACCAGCCACACUGGGACUGAGACACGGCCCAGACUCCUACGGGAGGCAGCAGUGGGGAAUUUUUGGACAAUGGGCGCAAGCCUGAUCCAGCAAUGCCGCGUG
This 369-nucleotide ribosomal RNA is filed under the name uncultured bacterium. RNAcentral's name for it is "bacterial SSU rRNA". It matches the Rfam family "Bacterial small subunit ribosomal RNA", at positions 30 to 403 of the family's 1533-position model. The record is from RNAcentral.